UAAAGCUAUUUGCCAUGUGUCU
RNAcentral lists this non-coding RNA (22 nucleotides) under Arabidopsis thaliana (thale cress). Lineage: Eukaryota; Viridiplantae; Streptophyta; Magnoliopsida; Brassicales; Brassicaceae. The record is from RNAcentral.